RNAcentral lists this ribosomal RNA (2093 nucleotides) under human gut metagenome. Its description in RNAcentral is "bacterial LSU rRNA". It matches the Rfam family "Bacterial large subunit ribosomal RNA", at positions 329 to 2495 of the family's 2925-position model. The record is from RNAcentral.
UUAGCAGAAGUGUAUGGGAAGACACACCAUAGUAGGUAAUAGUCCUGUAAGCGAAAAGGAUAUUGACAAGGCAGGAUCCAGAGUACCACCGGACACGAGGAACCCGGUGGGAAGCCGGGGGGACCACCCCCCAAGCCUAAAUACUACCUGAUGACCGAUAGUGAAAAGUACAGUGAUGGAAAGUUGAAAAGAACCCCGGAAGGGGAGUGAAAAAGAAUCUGAAACCCUAUGUUUACAAGCUGCUAAAGCACUAUAUAUGUGCGAUAGCGUACUUUUUGUAGAACGGUCCGGCGAGUGUAUGUUGCAAGCGAGGUUAAGGUGUUAAGCACUGAAGCCGAAGGGAGACCGAGUGUGAAUAGCGCGUACAGUUUGCAGUAUACGACCCGAAACCGGGUGACCUAACCAUGGACAGGUUGAAGUGGAAGUAAAAUUCCAUGGAGGACCGAACCCACGUCUGUUGAAAAAGGCGGGGAUGAGCUGUGGUUAGCGGUGAAAUUCCAAUCGAACUCGGAUAUAGCUGGUUCUCAUCGAAAUAGCUUUAGGGCUAGCCUCAGGAUAGUUUAGCGGAGGUAAAGCACUGAAUGGGCUAGGGGGCUUCACGGCUUACCGAACCCUAUCAAACUCUGAAUGCCGCAUAAAUGUUUCCUGGGAGUCAGACUGCGUGAGAUAAGUUUCGUAGUCAAAAGGGAAAGAGCCCAGACCUACAGCUAAGGUCCCUAAAUGAAUUUAAGUGGAAAAGGAUGUGCAGUUGCGUAGACAACUAGGACGUUGGCUUAGAAGCAGCCACUCAUUUAAAGAGUGCGUAAUAGCUCACUAGUCGAGUGAUUGUGCGCCGAAAAUGUAACGGGGCUAAAAUUCAUACCGAAGCUUAGGAAUGAUAGUAAUAUUGUUGGUAGAUGAGCGUUGUGUAAGUCUGCGAAGCUACACCGAAAGGAGUAGUGGAGAUAUCACAAGUGAGAAUGCCGGAAUGAGUAGCGAGAAUUAUGUGAGAAUCAUAAUGGUCGAAAAUCUAAGGUUUCUUGAGGAAGGUUCGUCCGCUCAAGGUAAGCCGGGAGCUAAGGCGAGGCCGAGAGGCGUAGUCGAUGCACAUACGGUAAAGAUUCCGUAGCCACCGAAGUCGUUAAAUACAGGGACACAGGAACAUAGCCUAACCCCACCGUUGGUUGAGUGGGGCGUAAGGGAGCGAAAAUUAGUAGCGAAGUAGGUGAUUGUACACUGGCGAGAAAAGCUGUAUGAAUUGACCAGGUGCCCGUACCGCAAACCGACACAGGUAGAUGAGGAGAGAAUCCUAAGACCAGCGGGAGAAGUGUUGUUAAGGAACUCGGCAAAAUGACCCCGUAACUUCGGGAUAAGGGGAGCCUACGCGAGUAGGCCGCAGAGAAUAGUCUCAAGCGACUGUUUAGCAAAAACACAGGUCUAUGCUAAAUCGAAAGAUGAUGUAUAUGGGCUGACGCCUGCCCGGUGCUGGAAGGUUAAGGGGAAGUGUUAGAGCAAUCGAAGCACUGAACUUAAGCCCCAGUAAACGGCGGCCGUAACUAUAACGGUCCUAAGGUAGCGAAAUUCCUUGUCAGGUAAGUUCUGACCCGCACGAAUGGCGUAACGACUUGAGAGCUGUCUCAACAACAUACCCGGCGAAAUUGAAGUACUGGUAAAGAUGCCAGUUACCCGUGAUAAGACGGAAAGACCCCAUGGAGCUUUACUGUAACUUGAUAUUGAAUUUUUGUAUUACAUGUACAGGAUAGGUGGGAGACAGAGAACUAAUGCCGCCAGGUGUUAGGGAGUCGAUGUUGGGAUACCACUCUUGUAAUAUGAAGGUUCUAACCUGCACCCGUGAAUCCGGGUGGGGGACACUGUCAGGUGGACAGUUUGACUGGGGCGGUCGCCUCCUAAAAGGUAACGGAGGCGUUCAAAGGUUGGUUCAGCACGGACGGAAAUCGUGCAACGAGUGCAAACGCAUAAACCAGCCUAACUGCGAGACCGACAAGUCGAGCAGUAACGAAAGUUGGAGUUAGUGAUCCGGCGGUAUGAGAGUGGAAUUGCCGUCGCUCAACGGAUAAAAGCUACCCUGGGGAUAACAGGCUGAUCUCCCCCAA